GAUGAACGCUAGCUACAGGCUUAACACAUGCAAGUCGAGGGGUAACGAGAGGAAAGCUUGCUUUCCUUGUCGACGACCGGCGCACGGGUGAGUAACGCGUAUCCAACCUGCCCCCAACUAAGGAAUAACCUUGCGAAAGUAAGACUAAUACCUUAUAAUUUCCUCAGAUGUCAUCUGACGAGGAAUAAAGAUUUAUCGGUUGUGGAUGGGGAUGCGUCUGAUUAGCUUGUUGGCGGGGUAACGGCCCACCAAGGCAACGAUCAGUAGGGGUUCUGAGAGGAAGGUCCCCCACAUUGGAACUGAGACACGGUCCAAACUCCUACGGGAGGCAGCAGUGAGGAAUAUUGGUCAAUGGGCGAAAGCCUGAACCAGCCAAGUAGCGUGCAGGAUGACGGCCCUAUGGGCUGUAAACUGCUUUUAUACAGGAAUAAAGUUAGCCACGUGUGGUUAUUUGUAGGUACUGUAUGAAUAAGGACCGGCUAAUUCCGUGUCAGCAGCCGCCGUAA
This 506-nucleotide ribosomal RNA is filed under the name uncultured bacterium. RNAcentral's name for it is "partial 16S ribosomal RNA". It matches the Rfam family "Bacterial small subunit ribosomal RNA", at positions 28 to 523 of the family's 1533-position model. The record is from RNAcentral.